RNAcentral lists this ribosomal RNA (117 nucleotides) under Deltaproteobacteria bacterium. The record is from RNAcentral. Lineage: Bacteria; Pseudomonadati; Myxococcota; Myxococcia.
UUCGGUGGCGAUGGCGGAGAGGAAACACCCGUUCCCAUCCCGAACACGGAAGUUAAGCUCUCCAGCGCCGAUGGUACUGCGGGGCUACCCCCGUGGGAGAGUAGGUCGCCGCCGAAU